RNAcentral lists this ribosomal RNA (280 nucleotides) under uncultured bacterium. Its description in RNAcentral is "partial 16S ribosomal RNA". It matches the Rfam family "Bacterial small subunit ribosomal RNA", at positions 506 to 784 of the family's 1533-position model. The record is from RNAcentral.
UGCCAGCAGCCGCGGUAAUACGAAGGGUGCUAGCGUUGUUCGGAAUUACUGGGCGUAAAGAGCAUGUAGGCGGAUGAAUUAGUCAGAGGUGAAAGCCCCCGAGCUCAACUUGGGAACUGCCUUUGAUACUGUUUAUCUAGAGUCCGAGAGAGGUUAGUGGAAUUCCCAGUGUAGAGGUGAAAUUCGUAGAUAUUGGGAAGAACACCAGUGGCGAAGGCGGCUAACUGGCUCGGUACUGACGCUGAGGUACGGAAGCAUAGGGAUCAAACAGGAUUAGAUA